Molecule: ribosomal RNA, 406 nt
Filed under: uncultured bacterium
Lineage: Bacteria
Description: partial 16S ribosomal RNA
Rfam family: Bacterial small subunit ribosomal RNA
Source: RNAcentral
AUUGAACGCUGGCGGCAGGCCUAACACAUGCAAGUCGAACGAGUGGCGGACGGGUGAGUAAUGUCUGGGAAACUGCCUGAUGGAGGGGGAUAACUACUGGAAACGGUAGCUAAUACCGCAUACCAUCGGAUGUGCCCAGAUGGGAUUAGCUAGUAGGUGGGGUAAAGGCUCACCAAGGCGACGAUCCCUAGCUGGUCUGAGAGGAUGACCAGCCACACUGGAACUGAGACACGGUCCAGACUCCUACGGGAGGCAGCAGUGGGGAAUAUUGGACAAUGGGCGAAAGCCUGAUGCAGCCAUGCCGCGUGUAUGAAGAAGGUCUUCGGGUUGUAAAGCACUUUCAGCAGGGAAGCGGUACCCGCAGAAGAAGCACCGGCUAACUCCGUGCCAGCAGCCGCGGUAAUAC